Long non-coding RNA from Mesocricetus auratus (golden hamster), 4850 nucleotides. RefSeq lists it as uncharacterized. The record is from RefSeq and is a predicted model, not a curated record. The transcript is spliced from 3 exons. Lineage: Eukaryota; Metazoa; Chordata; Mammalia; Rodentia; Cricetidae.
UAAGAGUUGCUGAAUCCCUCAAUGUCAUGCUGUCAGUUCUAGCUUCUCAAUGCUGUCACAAUGCCUCCAACUGCCACCUCUCACUGCAUCAGAACUUCUAACCUGAGGCAAAUGCAUGAAACUAGAAGAGAUUAUACUGAGUGAGAGAACCCAGACCCAAAAAGACAAACGUGGUCUUGAAGAGCCACUGGAGCAGAGCUGACCUACGAGGGACCACACCUGAGUCAGAAAACUGACUCUUCCUCCCCUAGAAGCCAUGAACUCUCCAUAGGUCCUAGGGUAUCAGACUGGGCUCAGGAGCCACUUUCCAUUCUAAGUUAGAAAGAUAGAUGGCUUGAUCUUGUGAAGUUUUUGUACAGACAACUGCAGCUGCUGUGACAUCAUGAAGGCAGUGGUCCUAUCAUAUGCAGAAGACACCUUCACUCUUGUCCUUCCAGAUCUGUGAAUAUUGCAAUAUUUCCAACCCAUUUUUCUAUGAUGGUCUUGAACUUUGAUAGCAGGGAGACAAAGGUAUACAAUUUGUAAUUGCCUGAGCACUCCAAUUUCAUUAUAAACAGAAAUGCACAUAAAUGUAAAUUUAUCUUUUACAUUCAAAUGAGUGAGUUUUAUGACUAUAUAUUAAUGUAAAUGUCUAUCAAUAUAAAUUAAUAUGUACACACACAUACCAGCAAGUGUAUACUUAUAGUCUUCCAUAAGAAUACAUACAUAUAUAUCCACAUUUUUUUCAUGACAUAAUCUAAACAUUAGUAAAUAAAUUCAGCUUGCAGCAUAAGAUUGCCAUUGGCCUUUGGGAAUCAGGGAGUGAAAUGUUGCUUUAGUAAGAAUGUCCUCCACAGGCUCAUAUAUUUGAAGACUUGAUCACCAGUUUGUGGUGCUGUCUCAGGAGAUUAUACAAUCUUUAACAGGUUUAGCCUUGCCAGAGGAAGUAUGUCACUAAGGUUAAACAUGUUUCUCAAUUUUUAAUCAUAUUAAUAUAAAGUAACUAUUAAAGAAUACAAUAAAUGUUUUAGAUUGUCCUCCAAAUACCUAUGUUUUCAGCUUCCAUAGAAUACAAUAAAUGUUUUAGAUUGUCCUCCAAAUACCUAUGUUUUCAGCUUCCAUUUAUGUUCAGCUCCUUUAGCUCCAACAAGUUUGACUCUGUUCCUUUCCAUGUUCCCAUGAAAUCCCACAUUUCAUAAGAAAAUGUUUGGUAUACAGAAUUUCAUAGUUUGUUACUAGCUAAAGUGUGACGAUACUUUGUGCUUUAAUAAGUAAAGCUUGCGUGAAGAUCAGAGUUGGGAGGUAAGCCAGUAGUUAACCAUGGAAGCCAGGCAGUGGUAACAUAUGCCUUUUAUCCCAGCACUCAGGAAACAGAGACAGACAGGUCUCUGUGAGUUCAAAGCCAACCUGGCCUACAUGAAAUUGAAUCCGUCUAAAAGAGAAACAGAGCUCAUACCUUUGAUCACAGCAUAUGGAUAACAUGCCUUUAGUCCCCGAACUAGGGAAGUGGAGACUGGAGUGAUAUGGCUGGGUGGGGAGAGGAAUAUAAGGCAGGAGACAGGAGCUUGGACCAUUCGGUCUGCGUAUUUCUAGGGACAGGAUUGCCCUAUAUGGUCUGAGGAUUCACUAAUGGUAACAACUAGUGGCUGACUCCUUGUCUCUUUGAUCGUUCAGCAUUUACCCUGAUAUCUGACUCUUGCUUUUUAUUAUUAAAACGAAUUAGAAUUUGUAUAACACUAAAGAACUGUAAAUAAUGUUUGAAUAUUCAGGCAUGUGUAGCAAGUAUUCAAUGUACUAUUGUUUUUGUCAUCAUAAAAAUAGUAAAUGGUUUGUUUAACGUAAAUGUAUCUUAGAAAUGAAUGUAUUCAUUAGAAUGAUGGCACAGAUAUUGACAGCUGGCUUUGUAAGGUUAAUGUGUAUAUAAGAAUAUCCAUCCAUAUAUAGACAAUUUCCAUGUUUCUGUGCAUGGAUUUCUUUGUUACCUAUACUUAUCACUCACUUAUACUGAAUAAUAUUUCUUUAACAAGUACUCAAUACCCACUACUCUGUUUCCAGAUGUCCCUGUGCUUGGCAGAUUUGAUGUGCCAUGUCCCAUAAAAAGCUUAUGAAACUGAACUGGUACUGGCCCCAUGUAAAACCUUUAUAAUUAAGAGUUAUAUACAGUACAUGUCACAGAGUGUCUUUGGCAACAAAUUAACACCUAACAUUCCCACUGGCAAAGUUGACCUCAAAAAUUUGCCCUUGAAAUCCAUAAAUGUAUAGCUUUGUCUGACUUCAGCAAGUUCAUGUAAAACCUUUAUAAUUAAGAGUUAUAUACAGUACAUGUCACAGAGUGUCUUUGGCAACAAAUUAACACCUAACAUUCCUACUGGCAAAGUUGACCUCAAAAAUUUGCCCUUGAAAUCCAUAAAUGUAUAGCUUUGUCUGACUUCAGCAAGUUCAUAUGAAUGUGCUUCACAGAUAAGAAAAUGGAUCCUAGCUACAUACACAAAGGGAAAACAAAACUCCAAAGAGAGAAAACAAUGGGACUACACAGUACAGAUGUACAGACACACAUUUUGUAGAGAUUUGAAAUAACAUCUUAGAUCAAAUGAAUGUUUCCCCUGAAAGAAACUAAUUAGGAAAAGAUAAGGGUGGUUUUAAAGGAUAUGAAAUGUAGUGAACAUACUUUGGCUGCUUAUUUUAAAAAGCUUUAGGGGCGUUUGUAAGAUAGCCACAUUUUAGUAAUCCAUAUCUUUUGUGAGAUUAAAUCUGUCUGAUGGGAAUAUUCUUGCCCAGAUAGAAUAAAGAGCACUGCAAAUUUGGUAAGGAACAGGCUAUCUUUAUUAAAGUAUUUAUCAUUUUUACAGCUGGAAUUGGUAUUAAUAUUUCAACAAACAAUCCCAGUAAGCCUUAUCUUCUCUUUGUUGACUUUAGUUAAGCACUGUCAGCAGUAGGCUAUUUAGAACAGCUUGGCCUGCUCAAGCAGAAUAAUUCAUCUUAGAACUUAUAAAAAAAUAAGCUCACUUUUAAUAUUCAGCAGCAGCAUGCCAAAGUAGAAACACAAACUUGGUCUAGAGGAUGUACAACUUCAGAAAUGUUAUUGAUGGUCUGCUUUUCCUGUUCUGUGGAGACAUUCAACAACACAGACAGGGUAUAAAUUCUUUUAACACUUUCAAAACACAGAGAUACUGAGCUCAUAGAUAUUUUUUUCUUUGUAAUCAUAGGCUAUUAAAUACAAGUGACUCAGAACUUAUUUGAUAAAAUCUUGCUGAAUGUAAGAAGAAAUCAUUAAGAAAAAAGAAAUAGAGAAACCAAUGCUUUGAAUUUAAAAAUUAUUUUGAAUUUUGUGUUUUAAAACUAUCUAAUUGUCAUUUGAAGCUGUGAAGAAAUUCAGAGACCAAGUGCCCUCAUUCACAAAUGCCUUUGUUUAAAAAACAGUAUGAUUAUGAUAUAAGAUUAGUUUUAACUACUUUCUUGAAUGUAGUAGAUUCAAGAUUCUGAUCAUUGAAUCUACUAUACAAUUAUUGCUACACUUAGGUGAAUGAUUUCAGUCAUAAAUCAAUCAUUCUGGAAAAAUCAUGUUAGGUCAAUAAUGUUUUAAAAGAUGAAUGACUAUAAAUUACUUCAUUGGGCCACUCAUCUUAUGAAAUUACAUUGAGAGUGUAUGGUUUAACUUGGUAUUUAACUGCUUUUUUAUGCAAGCACAGUAAUUUGAGGCUGACUCUUGAGCUUCCUGGACACCACUAAUCCUAUAUGAGUUUCAGAAGAACAGCCCCUAGAGAGCAUCUGGGACAACAGAUUUCACCAAUUCCUUAGGGUAGAGGGCUCUAUGGAGUUACAAGUUACCAGGCACUGAUGUGUGCAAGCAAGUUUUACAAGUUAUUUUGCUAAUGGUUAUUGUCCCACGUACUUGACAGUAAAAUGAAUUUUACUAUCACCAUAAUAAUUUAUUAAAAACAAUAGGAAUUUGUCAUUUCACUUUAGGUAUAGUGCAACUUAGAUUAAAUUAUUCACAUUAUAGACUAUAUCCCCAUAAUAUUUAUACAUGCACAUGUGAAAAUGCUAAGCACUGAUAUCACAGUAUUAGAAGAUGAUUCCUAUGUAACUGAGGUUGAGACAAGAUCAUGAAAAUGAGCCUCCAACAAAAAGUGAUCUGAAAACAGAAGAGUAGAGUCUCAGAGUCUCUCUCUCUCUCUCUCUCUCUCUCUCUCUCUCUCUCUCUCUCUCUCUCUCUCUCUUUCCCUCUCUCUGAGCAAAGGAGUAGCCUUUUUAAAGCAUCACUUCACAUGACUUUGAAUUUGUCAGCAACAUGAUCUUGAAUAUUCCAGCUUUAUAAAUUGAGAUAUAAAUACUAAAUAUAUAUUUAUGUAUAUAUAAAUAUAUAAAACCCCAGUUGGUGGGAUUCUGUCUCAAUCACCCUCUUUAAAUAAUGGUGUCUUCUAACACACAAGGCAUGGUAACAUUACAAUAUUUGCAUUAGUCACAUCUGUAAUAUUUCUCUGCAAUCUUUGGCUGUCUUUAUUGAUGAUAUACAUAUCUUGCUAUAUAAUAUUGCAAAAGAUGUUGAUGAUUUCAUUUCAUUUUCCAAUAUGUGGUUAGAGUGGAAACAAAAUAGUUGUGUGUGCAUUGAUCUCCUUUGCAGAACACUCACUGGUUUCUACAAAUUCUAGAGAGCUGUGUCUCACAGGAUGCAAAAAUUGGAAAGUUGACAACAAUUUUACCUUGAAGUAGUGGCAUUUUAUUCUAUACACACCCUUGUAUUUUCAUUCAUGUAAUGUGAUUUCAGAAACCCUACGAUCAGGAAAUAUAUUUUUUCCUCCUUUUAUUAAGAUUUAUUACCUUUUCAAACUUUUUUUUGUAAAUAUAAUACACUGACUUAAAUCACUCAA